AAUGAACGCUGGCGGCGUGCUUAACACAUGCAAGUCGAGCGGUAAGGCCCUUUCGGGGGUACACGAGCGGCGAACGGGUGAGUAACACGUGGGUGACCUGCCCUCAGCUCUGGGAUAAGCCUGGGAAACCGGGUCUAAUACCGGAUAUGACUCCAUGACGCAUGUUGUGGGGUGGAAAGCCUUGUGCGGCUGAGGAUGGGCCCGCGGCCUAUCAGCUUGUUGGUGGGGNGAUGGCCUACCAAGGCGACGACGGGUAGCCGGCCUGAGAGGGCGACCGGCACACUGGGACUGAGACACGGCCCAGACUCCUACGGGA
This 316-nucleotide ribosomal RNA is filed under the name uncultured bacterium. RNAcentral's name for it is "bacterial SSU rRNA". It matches the Rfam family "Bacterial small subunit ribosomal RNA", at positions 28 to 346 of the family's 1533-position model. The record is from RNAcentral.